CGGAGGGUGCAAGCGUUAAUCGGAAUUACUGGGCGUAAAGCGCACGCAGGCGGUCUGUCAAGUCGGAUGUGAAAUCCCCGGGCUCAACCUGGGAACUGCAUUCGAAACUGGCAGGCUUGAGUCUUGUAGAGGGGGGUAGAAUUCCAGGUGUAGCGGUGAAAUGCGUAGAGAUCUGGAGGAAUACCGGUGGCGAAGGCGGCCCCCUGGACAAAGACUGACGCUCAGGUGCGAAAGCGUGGGGAGCAAACAGGAUUAGAUACCCUGGUAGUCCACGCCGUAAACGAUGUCUACUUGGAGGUUGUGCCCUUGAGGCGUGGCUUCCGGAGCUAACGCGUUAAGUAGACCGCCUGGGGAGUACGGCCGCAAGGUUAAAACUCAAAUGAAUUGACGGGGGCCCGCACAAGCGGUGGAGCAUGUGGUUUAAUUCGAUGCAACGCGAAGAACC
RNAcentral lists this ribosomal RNA (445 nucleotides) under Salmonella enterica subsp. enterica serovar Weltevreden. RNAcentral's name for it is "bacterial SSU rRNA". It matches the Rfam family "Bacterial small subunit ribosomal RNA", at positions 526 to 970 of the family's 1533-position model. Lineage: Bacteria; Pseudomonadati; Pseudomonadota; Gammaproteobacteria; Enterobacterales; Enterobacteriaceae. The record is from RNAcentral. RNAcentral also lists the same sequence under 2 other names.